UGGAAAGAAGUUUUGUCAUAAUUAGUUUGGCCGACGAUACAGAGAAGAUUAGCAUGGCCCCUACGCAAGGACGACACGCAAAUUUGUGAAGCGUUCCAUUAAAAA
Chelonia mydas (Green sea turtle) is the source of this 105-nucleotide non-coding RNA. The record is from Rfam. NCBI's taxonomy places the organism in Eukaryota, Metazoa, Chordata, Testudines, Cheloniidae.